CCGGUCUGGGUUAAAGAAGGUGUGUGUGAGAUCGUUCCCGUCGUCCUCAGGGAUUUUGAAGGGCUCGUUCUUGAUGCUGUCAUACAGGUUCUGUGUGGAGGAGAAAAUAACACUAGGACUUGAGGACAGAGAGACGGAGAGGAAGGUAGAGGACCCCUGGGGCAGGGGGAUGGACAGAGAGGAAGGUAGAGGACCCCUGGGGCAGGGGGAUGGACAGAGAGACGGAGAGGAAGGUAGAGGACCCCUGGGGCAGGGGGAUGGACAGAGAGACGGAGAGGAAGGUAGAGGACCCCUGGGGCAGGGGGAUGGACAGAGAGACGGAGAGGAAGGUAGAGGACCCCUGGGGCAGGGGGAUGGACAGAGAGACGGAGAGGAAG
Long non-coding RNA from Oncorhynchus keta (chum salmon), 377 nucleotides. RefSeq lists it as uncharacterized. The transcript has 3 exons. The record is from RefSeq and is a predicted model, not a curated record. NCBI's taxonomy places the organism in Eukaryota, Metazoa, Chordata, Actinopteri, Salmoniformes, Salmonidae.